GGGAGCCCAUUUGCAAGUACAUCAAUGAGCAGUAUGAGAAGUUCCUCAGAGAGGAGGUGAAUAUCACCAGAAAGAAGCGCAUCCCAGAUACCAGAGUGCACUGCUGUCUCUAUUUCAUCUCCCCGACUGGACACUCACUGCGGCAGCUCGACGUGGAGUUCAUGAAGCGCUUGAGUCACUCCGUCAACAUCAUUCCUGUGAUAGCCAAGGCUGAUACCAUGACGCCCGACGAGAGACAGGAGUUCAAACAACGGGUGA
Long non-coding RNA from Hippocampus comes (tiger tail seahorse), 258 nucleotides. RefSeq lists it as uncharacterized. Lineage: Eukaryota; Metazoa; Chordata; Actinopteri; Syngnathiformes; Syngnathidae. The record is from RefSeq and is a predicted model, not a curated record. The transcript is spliced from 2 exons.